Molecule: ribosomal RNA, 229 nt
Filed under: uncultured bacterium
Lineage: Bacteria
Description: partial 16S ribosomal RNA
Rfam family: Bacterial small subunit ribosomal RNA
Source: RNAcentral
CGCGUAGGCGGGCUAAUAAGUCAGUGGUGAAAUCUUCCGGCUCAACCGGGAACCUGCCAUUGAUACUGUUAGUCUUGAGUUCGGUUGAGGUAGGCGGAAUGUGUAAUGUAGCGGUGAAAUGCUUAGAUAUUACACAGAACACCAAUUGCGUAGGCAGCUUACUAGACCGACACUGACGCUGAGGCACGAAAGCGUGGGGAGCGAACAGGAUUAGAUACCCUGGUAGUCC